This 857-nucleotide ribosomal RNA is filed under the name uncultured Thermoplasmata archaeon. Its description in RNAcentral is "bacterial SSU rRNA". It matches the Rfam family "Archaeal small subunit ribosomal RNA", at positions 1 to 863 of the family's 1478-position model. The record is from RNAcentral. Lineage: Archaea; Methanobacteriati; Thermoplasmatota; Thermoplasmata.
AUUCCGGUUGAUCCUGCCAGAGGUCACUGCUAUUGGGAUUCGACUAAGCCAUGCGAGUCGUGAGGGUUCGGCCCUCGGCAGACGGCUCAGUAACACGUAGAUAAUUUGCCCUUAGGUGGAGGAUACCCUCGGGAAACUGAGAAUAAUACUCCAUAGAUCUAGACUGCUGGAAUGCUUUUAGAUUGAAAGAUUUAUCGCCUAAGGAUAAGUCUGCGGACUAUCAGGUCGUAGUUAGGGUAACUACCUGACUAGCCUACGACGGAUACGGGUUGUGAGAGCACUAGCCCGGAGAUGAUAUCUGAGACACGAUAUCAGGCCCUACGGGGCGCAGCAGGCGCGAAAACUUCGCACUGUGCGAAAGCACGACGAGGGAAUCCCAAGUGCUGGCUCGUAAGAGUCAGCUGUUUCUUUGUCUAAAAAACAGAGAGAGUAAGGGCUGGGUAAGACGGGUGCCAGCCGCCGCGGUAAUACCUGCAGCCCAAGUGGUGGCCGCUAUUAUUGGGCCUAAAACGUCCGUAGCCGGUUCUAUAAAUGCCUGGGUAAAUCGUACGGCUUAACCGUACGAAUUCCGGGUAGACUGUUUAACUUGGGACCGGGAGAGGCUAGAGGUACUCCUGGGGUAGAGGUGAAAUUCUGUAAUCCUAGGGGGACCACCAGUGGCGAAGGCGUCUAGCUAGAACGGGUCUGACGGUGAGGGACGAAGCCCUGGGGAGCAAACGGGAUUAGAUACCCCGGUAGUCCAGAGUGUAAACGCUGCUCGCUUGAUGUUAGCCGGGCUCCGAGCCCAACUAGUGUCGGAGAGAAGUUGUUAAGCGAGCUGCCUGGGGAGUACGGUCGCAAGACUGAAACUUAAAAGG